ACCUGUAAACCCUGAGGAGAACUUACCUGUAAACCCUGAGGAGAACUUACCUGUAAAUUUUGAAGUUCAAUCUGAAAGAGAAGAAAUUGCUGAUUCAACUCAUGUAACUGGCUUGGAAGCACAAAGCCCAAGUUUCAAUAGGGAAUCUUCUGUGCCAAGGUUCAGUUCGGUUGAAGAGGAAUUAAAUGAUGCUGAAAAUAUGGAAACCGACAUGGAAGCCAUCGAAUCAGUACAUUCAAGAAAUGAGUUAAGGAGGUCUGUUCGGACAAAAGAGAAACCCAAAAUCUUGACUUACCCCAAAUUGGGAAACCCUUUGAUAACCAUAGUUCAGUCCCUUCUUCAAGGCCUAAAUGAAGCCUUUUCAGAGUCCUUGCAAGAGUGUCCCCGUACGAGCUGUUCUGCAGCACAGGAUUAUACUGGCAAUAUGCAAAGGGACUUGCAUGGUUCUAUGGGGGGAGGGUGUAACCCAGGCUCAAAAACCUUUGUAGUCUAAAUUAGAUUUAAACACAGUCAUCUGAAUAGCUAGAUACUGUUAGAGGAAGAAAUAUGGAACAAAUACUAAAUGUGUAUAUAUAUGUAUAUAUAAAUAUUUUCCAUUUGAAAUGGGUUACUUGUUAGGUAAACUAAAUAGUUGAAAUGUAACUUUAAUUUUGAUUGAGCUCUAGAUCUGUGCAGGUGAGCAGCCAAUCGAGCGUAAUUAGGUCAAGCUGACUCCGCCCACCGAGAGAUGCGGCAUGAGAGAGAGAAAAAAACUUGAGAAACAACGUGAAUUAGAAGCUGCGUAAGAUCUUGAUUUAUUUCAUUUUGAGAGAGAACGCAUGUGAAAACCAAACAUUGUAAGUUAUUUUGCAGACAUUUUGUUGAUAAAUAAGUUUUAUUUCAAACUACUCACUUACUUACAUUUUGUUGAUUAUGUGACCGUCGUCACGCUGAAUUCCAGUGGAGUAGGCCAUCAUUGCGUCAUCCGAGAGAAACCUGGAAAAAAAACAGAGAAAUAUCAUUAAUACACGAGGGAAUCGGCCAGUUUUGUUAUUUUAGAAAUCUAGAAUCUGGAUUUUUUCAAUUCAUGAAGAUGGCGAGCCAACCGUAAAUCGAUCAGAAACAACUAUCCUUUGUCUUUUUGGACAUCUGUAUCACUUCACUUUCGGCAGGACAUCGCGUCGGAUUUUUUUCUUUUGAGGUUUGAAACAUCUGACAUUUUCAUUUUUCCUUUUGAGCAUUGGAUCACUGAUUUAAAGGAACUGAGGAGACAAUAUCAUUCUUUAUUGUUCAGACUGACAUUUUGUUUGAACUGUGCAUUCAAGAAUUACUGAUACUGCAUUGAUACGCAUUCAUUUAGACUUUGUUUCGUAUAAACAAGUGUUUACAGUGGACAUUUGUACGUGUGACUAAACACAAGUCCUGACAUUCGUGUUUAUUUUAUAUCUACUGAUCUUGAGUAUACAUUUGAGUUGUGUACAUAAAAAAAGGAGAUCAGAAAUUGAAUGUUUAUUACAAUUUAAUUUGCAUUGGAGAGAAGAAUUUUCUAUGUCAAGGGUUAAAUUUCAAAUUCAUUUAGCUUAAUUGGUAAAAAGUAAUAUUUAAAGCAGAUUUAAUAUUUCUUUUUUUGGUUUUAUUUUUUUUUUUGUUUGUUCUUGUUAUUUUUGCCCUUUAUGCAGUGUCAUUGAUAUUUUUUUUUUCCCAACCAGUGUAUCCUAUCAAUCGCGCUUACAAGUCAAUUUUAUCCAAUAUAAAGAUGCGCAUUUACAUCUA
This is a long non-coding RNA of Carassius gibelio (silver crucian carp), 1752 nucleotides long. RefSeq lists it as uncharacterized. NCBI's taxonomy places the organism in Eukaryota, Metazoa, Chordata, Actinopteri, Cypriniformes, Cyprinidae. The record is from RefSeq and is a predicted model, not a curated record. The transcript is spliced from 2 exons.